This 253-nucleotide ribosomal RNA is filed under the name uncultured bacterium. RNAcentral describes it as "partial 16S ribosomal RNA". It matches the Rfam family "Bacterial small subunit ribosomal RNA", at positions 524 to 776 of the family's 1533-position model. The record is from RNAcentral.
UACGUAGGGGCCAAGCGUUGUCCGGAUUUAUUGGGCGUAAAGAGCGUGUAGGCGGCCAGGUAGGUCUGCUGUGAAAACUCGAGGCUCAACCUCGAGACGUCGGCGGAAACCAUCUGGCUAGAGUCCGGAAGAGGAGAGUGGAAUUCCUGGUGUAGCGGUGAAAUGCGCAGAUAUCAGGAAGAACACCCGUGGCGAAGGCGGCUCUCUGGGACGGUACUGACGCUGAGACGCGAAAGCGUGGGGAGCGAACAGG